CCUACGGGAGGCAGCAGUGAGGAAUAUUGGUCAAUGGCCGAGAGUCUGAACCAGCCAAGUAGCGUGAAGGAUGACUGCCCUAUGGGUUGUAAACUUCUUUUAUAAGGGAAUAAAACGAGGCACGUGUGCCUUUUUGCGUGUACUUUAUGAAUAAGGAUCGGCUAACUCCGUGCCAGCAGCCGCGGUAAUACGGAGGAUCCGAGCGUUAUCCGGAUUUAUUGGGUUUAAAGGGAGCGUAGGUGGGUUGUUAAGUCAGGUGUUAAAGUUUGCGGCUCAACCGUAAAAUUGCAAUUGAUACUGGCAUUCUUGAGUACAGUUGAGGUAAGCGGAAUGCGUGGUGUAGCGGUGAAAUGCUUAGAUAUCACGAAGAACCCCGAUUGCGAAGGCAGCUUACUAAACUGUGACUGACAUUGAUGCUCGAAAGUGUGGGUAUCAAACAGGAUUAGAUACCCUGGUAGUC
This 460-nucleotide ribosomal RNA is filed under the name uncultured bacterium. RNAcentral describes it as "partial 16S ribosomal RNA". It matches the Rfam family "Bacterial small subunit ribosomal RNA", at positions 338 to 795 of the family's 1533-position model. The record is from RNAcentral.